Molecule: ribosomal RNA, 679 nt
Filed under: Bacillus cereus
Lineage: Bacteria; Bacillati; Bacillota; Bacilli; Caryophanales; Bacillaceae
Description: bacterial SSU rRNA
Rfam family: Bacterial small subunit ribosomal RNA
Source: RNAcentral
UAAUACUGCAAGUCGAGCGAAUGGAUUAAGAGCUUGCUCUUAUGAAGUUAGCGGCGGACGGGUGAGUAACACGUGGGUAACCUGCCCAUAAGACUGGGAUAACUCCGGGAAACCGGGGCUAAUACCGGAUAACAUUUUGAACCGCAUGGUUCGAAAUUGAAAGGCGGCUUCGGCUGUCACUUAUGGAUGGACCCGCGUCGCAUUAGCUAGUUGGUGAGGUAACGGCUCACCAAGGCAACGAUGCGUAGCCGACCUGAGAGGGUGAUCGGCCACACUGGGACUGAGACACGGCCCAGACUCCUACGGGAGGCAGCAGUAGGGAAUCUUCCGCAAUGGACGAAAGUCUGACGGAGCAACGCCCCGUGAGUGAUGAAGGCUUUCGGGUCGUAAAACUCUGUUGUUAGGGAAGAACAAGUGCUAGUUGAAUAAGCUGGCACCUUGACGGUACCUAACCAGAAAGCCACGGCUAACUACGUGCCAGCAGCCGCGGUAAUACGUAGGUGGCAAGCGUUAUCCGGAAUUAUUGGGCGUAAAGCGCGCGCAGGUGGUUUCUUAAGUCUGAUNUNAAGCCCACGGCUCAACCGUGGAGGGCAUUGGAAACUGGGAGACUUGAGUGCAGAAAAGGAAAGUGGAAUUCCAUGUGUAGCGGUGAAAUGCGUUGAGAUAUGGAGGAACACCA